RNAcentral lists this ribosomal RNA (917 nucleotides) under Staphylococcus aureus. RNAcentral describes it as "partial 23S ribosomal RNA". It matches the Rfam family "Bacterial large subunit ribosomal RNA", at positions 273 to 1189 of the family's 2925-position model. The record is from RNAcentral. Lineage: Bacteria; Bacillati; Bacillota; Bacilli; Caryophanales; Staphylococcaceae.
ACCAACAAGCUUGCUUGUUGGGGUUGUAGGACACUCUAUACGGAGUUACAAAGGACGACAUUAGACGAAUCAUCUGGAAAGAUGAAUCAAAGAAGGUAAUAAUCCUGUAGUCGAAAAUGUUGUCUCUCUUGAGUGGAUCCUGAGUACGACGGAGCACGUGAAAUUCCGUCGGAAUCUGGGAGGACCAUCUCCUAAGGCUAAAUACUCUCUAGUGACCGAUAGUGAACCAGUACCGUGAGGGAAAGGUGAAAAGCACCCCGGAAGGGGAGUGAAAUAGAACCUGAAACCGUGUGCUUACAAGUAGUCAGAGCCCGUUAAUGGGUGAUGGCGUGCCUUUUGUAGAAUGAACCGGCGAGUUACGAUUUGAUGCAAGGUUAAGCAGUAAAUGUGGAGCCGUAGCGAAAGCGAGUCUGAAUAGGGCGUUUAGUAUUUGGUCGUAGACCCGAAACCAGGUGAUCUACCCUUGGUCAGGUUGAAGUUCAGGUAACACUGAAUGGAGGACCGAACCGACUUACGUUGAAAAGUGAGCGGAUGAACUGAGGGUAGCGGAGAAAUUCCAAUCGAACCUGGAGAUAGCUGGUUCUCUCCGAAAUAGCUUUAGGGCUAGCCUCAAGUGAUGAUUAUUGGAGGUAGAGCACUGUUUGGACGAGGGGCCCCUCUCGGGUUACCGAAUUCAGACAAACUCCGAAUGCCAAUUAAUUUAACUUGGGAGUCAGAACAUGGGUGAUAAGGUCCGUGUUCGAAAGGGAAACAGCCCAGACCACCAGCUAAGGUCCCAAAAUAUAUGUUAAGUGGAAAAGGAUGUGGCGUUGCCCAGACAACUAGGAUGUUGGCUUAGAAGCAGCCAUCAUUUAAAGAGUGCGUAAUAGCUCACUAGUCGAGUGACACUGCGCCGAAAAUGUACCGGGGCUAAACAU